CCCAUUCUCCGGAGUGGGCGCACAUUAAGGGGACCGCUGGCGCUAAGUCAGAGGAAGGAGAGGUCAACGGUAGGUCAGUAUGCCCCGAAUCUCCCGGGCUACACGCGCGCUACAAAGGACAGGACAAUGGGAUGCAAUACCGAGAGGUAACGCCAACCCGAACUGUUCGUAGUUCGGACUGAGGGCUGUAACUCGCCCUCACGAAGCUGGAUUCCGUAGUAAUCGCGGGUCAACAUCCCGCGGUGAAUAUGCCCCUGCUCUUU
This 263-nucleotide ribosomal RNA is filed under the name uncultured Thermoplasmatales archaeon. RNAcentral's name for it is "partial 16S ribosomal RNA". It matches the Rfam family "Archaeal small subunit ribosomal RNA", at positions 1071 to 1338 of the family's 1478-position model. Lineage: Archaea; Methanobacteriati; Thermoplasmatota; Thermoplasmata; Thermoplasmatales. The record is from RNAcentral.